RNAcentral lists this ribosomal RNA (373 nucleotides) under uncultured bacterium. RNAcentral's name for it is "partial 16S ribosomal RNA". It matches the Rfam family "Bacterial small subunit ribosomal RNA", at positions 355 to 744 of the family's 1533-position model. The record is from RNAcentral.
UGGGGAAUAUUGGACAAUGGGCGCAAGCCUGAUCCAGCCAUGCCGCGUGAGUGAUGAAGGCCUUAGGGUUGUAAAGCUCUUUCGCCGGUGAAGAUAAUGACGGUAACCGGAGAAGAAGCCCCGGCUAACUUCGUGCCAGCAGCCGCGGUAAUACGAAGGGGGCUAGCGUUGCUCGGAAUCACUGGGGCGUAAAGCGCACGUAGGCGGAUCGUUAAGUCAGGGGUGAAAUCCUGGAGCUCAACUCCAGAACUGCCCUUGAUACUGGCGAUCUCGAGUUCGAGAGAGGUUGGUGGAACUCCGAGUGUAGAGGUGAAAUUCGUAGAUAUUCGGAAGAACACCAGUGGCGAAGGCGGCCAACUGGCUCGAUACUGGC